RNAcentral lists this ribosomal RNA (464 nucleotides) under uncultured Pelotomaculum sp. Its description in RNAcentral is "bacterial SSU rRNA". It matches the Rfam family "Bacterial small subunit ribosomal RNA", at positions 920 to 1382 of the family's 1533-position model. Lineage: Bacteria; Bacillati; Bacillota; Clostridia; Eubacteriales; Desulfotomaculaceae. The record is from RNAcentral.
CCCGCACAAGCGGUGGAGCAUGUGGUUUAAUUCGACGCAACGCGAAGAACCUUACCGGGGCUUGACAUCCCCUGACCGCGUAUGAAAGUACGUUUUCACCCUCGGGUGACAGGGAGACAGGUGGUGCAUGGUUGUCGUCAGCUCGUGUCGUGAGAUGUUGGGUUAAGUCCCGCAACGAGCGCAACCCCUACGUUUAGUUGCUAACGCGUGAAGGCGAGCACUCUAGACGAACUGCCGUUGACAAAACGGAGGAAGGUGGGAUGACGUCAAAUCAUCAUGCCCCUUAUGUUCUGGGCUACACACGUGCUACAAUGGCCGGUACAGACGGACGCAAAGCCGCGAGGUGGAGCAAAUCCUAAAAAGCCGGUCUCAGUUCGGAUUGCAGGCUGCAAUUCGCCUGCAUGAAGUCGGAAUCGCUAGUAAUCGCAGGUCAGCAUACUGCGGUGAAUACGUUCCCGGGCCUU